RNAcentral lists this non-coding RNA (30 nucleotides) under Homo sapiens (human). Lineage: Eukaryota; Metazoa; Chordata; Mammalia; Primates; Hominidae. The record is from RNAcentral.
UGCCAUGUUGGAUGCAAGUGCGGAGGGACU